ACUACAACAAAAACGGUCUAUAGCGACACUUUUAAAUGUCGGUAUAGGUCAAAAAAGUGUUGCUGGCUAAAUUUACCGACACUUUUGAAAAGUGUUGCUAUAUGUGGGGUCGCUAGGUAUAUAGUGAUAGUUAAAGAGUGUCGCUAUAAUCUAAAAGAGUGCUGCUAAUUUACCAACAUUUAUUUAAGCAUCUAGCAACCGCCGGAAUUCUACCUCUUUGGCUGCAGUGGCGGAGGAGGACGGGAGGAAAUGAUCUUCGUCUAGGAUUUCAGUCGAUUGAGUGAGGGGAGAAGGGAAAAUGAUAAUCGAAUUUUCUUUUCUUUUUCUUUUUUAUUUGUAAUCGGGCCGAAUGGGCUAAGUGGAGUAUGUUGAGUAAAUACCCUUUUAUUUUUAGUUGGAUUGGACUUUAUAUUUAGGCAUUAGUAGGAUUUUUUUUAAAGUUUUGGCAUAAAUGUGACACUUAUACAAAAGUGUCCCAAACAUGUGUCGCUAUAACCUAAUUCUGUUGUAGUGU
Molecule: long non-coding RNA, 514 nt
Filed under: Ananas comosus (pineapple)
Lineage: Eukaryota; Viridiplantae; Streptophyta; Magnoliopsida; Poales; Bromeliaceae
Description: long non-coding RNA (ACOM_LNC017652)
Source: RNAcentral